GUGCUUGCUUUGGCAGAACAUAUACUAAAAUUGGAACGAUACAGAGAGGAUAUGACCCCUGUGCAAGGAUGACAUGCAAAUUUGUGAAGCAUUCCAUAUUUUU
RNAcentral lists this small nuclear RNA (103 nucleotides) under Carlito syrichta (Philippine tarsier). Lineage: Eukaryota; Metazoa; Chordata; Mammalia; Primates; Tarsiidae. The record is from RNAcentral.